RNAcentral lists this ribosomal RNA (440 nucleotides) under uncultured bacterium. RNAcentral describes it as "partial 16S ribosomal RNA". It matches the Rfam family "Bacterial small subunit ribosomal RNA", at positions 338 to 795 of the family's 1533-position model. The record is from RNAcentral.
CCUACGGGGGGCAGCAGUAGGGAAUUUUGCGCAAUGGGCGAAAGCCUGACGCAGCAACGCCGCGUGAUCGAGACGCCCUUCGGGGUGUAAAGAUCUGUCAGUGGGGACGAAACUUGACGGUACCCACAGAGGAAGCACCGGCUAACUCCGUACCAGCAGCCGCGGUAAUACGGGGGGUGCAAGCGUUGUCCGGAAUCAUUGGGCGUAAAGAGUUCGUAGGCGGCACGUAAAGUCAGGUGUUAAAGGUAGAGGCUCAACUUUGGAACGGCACUGGAUACUUGCGAGCUAGAAUGCGGUAGAGGUAGAGGGAAUUCCUGGUGUAGCGGUGAAAUGCUUAGAUAUCAGGAAGAACAUCGGUGGCGAAGGCGCUUUACUGAGCCGUAAUUGACACUGAGGAACGAAAGCGAGGGUAGCAAAUGGGAUUAGAUACCCGGGUAGUC